UACGGAGGGUGCAAGCGUUACUCGGAAUCACUGGGCGUAAAGGACGCGUAGGCGGUCAGAUAAGUUGGAUGUGAAAUCCUAUGGCUUAACCAUAGAACUGCAUCCAAAACUGUUUGACUAGAAUGAGGGAGAGGUCAGUGGAAUUAGUGGUGUAGGGGUAAAAUCCGUAGAGAUCACUAGGAAUACUCAUUGCGAAGGCGACUGACUGGAACUUUAUUGACGCUGAGGCGUGAAAGCGUGGGGAGCAAACAGGAUUAGAUACCCUGGUAGUCCACGCCCUAAACGAUGUACACUAGUUGUUGGGAUGCAAGUCAUCUCAGUGAUGCAGCUAACGCAUUAAGUGUACCGCCUGGGGAGUACGGUCGCAAGAUUAAAACUCAAAGGAAUAGACGGGGACCCGCACAAGUGGUGGAGCAUGUGGUUUAAUUCGAAGAUACGCGAAGAACCUUACCUGGGCUUGACAUCCCGAGAAUCAUCCAGAGAUGGAUGAGUGCCAGUUUACUGGAGCUCGGUGACAGGUGCUGCACGGCUGUCGUCAGCUCGUGUCGUGAGAUGUUGGGUUAAGUCCCGCAACGAGCGCAACCCUCGUCCUUAGUUGCUAACAGUUUGGCUGAGCACUCUAAGGAGACUGCCUCCGCAAGGAGGAGGAAGGUGAGGACGACGUCAAGUCAUCAUGGCCCUUAUGCCCAGGGCGACACACGUGCUACAAUGGGGAGGACAAUGAGAAGCGAUACCGCGAGGUGGAGCAAAUCUAUAAACCUUCUCUCAGUUCGGAUUGCACUCUGCAACUCGAGUGCAUGAAGCUGGAAUCACUAGUAAUCGUAGAUCAGCCAUGCUACGGUGAAUACGUUCCCGGGUC
RNAcentral lists this ribosomal RNA (859 nucleotides) under uncultured bacterium. RNAcentral describes it as "bacterial SSU rRNA". It matches the Rfam family "Bacterial small subunit ribosomal RNA", at positions 524 to 1380 of the family's 1533-position model. The record is from RNAcentral.